Molecule: ribosomal RNA, 481 nt
Filed under: uncultured bacterium
Lineage: Bacteria
Description: partial 16S ribosomal RNA
Rfam family: Bacterial small subunit ribosomal RNA
Source: RNAcentral
GACGAACGUUGGCGGCGUGCUUAAUACAUGCAAGUCAACUGAAGCAGUGGUAGCAAUAUCGCUGUGGAGGUGGCGCACGGGUGAGUAACACGUAGGUAAUCUGCCUUCAGGUCUGGCAUAACUCCGGGAAACCGGGGCUAAUAGCAGAUGAUGCAGCGGCUCGACAUCGAGACAGUUGUUAAAGCUAUGGCGCCUGAAGAUGAGCCUGCGUCUGAUUAGCUAGUUGGCGGGGUAACGGCCCACCAAGGCAACGAUCAGUAGCUGGUCUGAGAGGAUGAUCAGCCACACUGGAACUGAGACACGGCCCAGACUCCUACGGGAGGCAGCAGUAAGGAAUAUUGCUCAAUGGGAGAAAUCCUGAAGCAGCAACGCCGCGUGAGGGACGAAGGGCUUUUGCUUGUAAACCUCUGUAGUGAGAGAAAAAAAUCCCAAUCUUUGGGACAUGAUGGUAUCUCAAAAGUAAGCCCCGGCUAACUACGUG